This 446-nucleotide ribosomal RNA is filed under the name uncultured bacterium. RNAcentral's name for it is "partial 16S ribosomal RNA". It matches the Rfam family "Bacterial small subunit ribosomal RNA", at positions 338 to 795 of the family's 1533-position model. The record is from RNAcentral.
CCUACGGGUGGCAGCAGUCGAGAAUCAUUCACAAUGGGGGAAACCCUGAUGGUGCGACACCGCGUGGGGGAAUGAAGGUCUUCGGAUUGUAAACCCCUGUCAUGUGGGAGCAAAUUAAAAAGAUCGUACCACAAGAGGAAGAGACGGCUAACUCUGUGCCAGCAGCCGCGGUAAUACAGAGGUCUCAAGCGUUGUUCGGAAUCACUGGGCGUAAAGCGUGCGUAGGCUGUUUCGUAAGUCGUGUGUGAAAGGCGCGGGCUCAACCCGCGGACGGCACAUGAUACUGCGAGACUAGAGUAAGGGAGGGGGAACCGGAAUUCGCGGUGUAGCAGUGAAAUGCGUAGAUAUCGAGAGGAACACUCGUGGCGAAGGCGGGUUCCUGGACAUUAACUGACGCUGAGGCACGAAGGCCAGGGGAGCGAAAGGGAUUAGAUACCCCAGUAGUC